Molecule: long non-coding RNA, 1667 nt
Organism: Astatotilapia calliptera (eastern happy)
Lineage: Eukaryota; Metazoa; Chordata; Actinopteri; Cichliformes; Cichlidae
Source: Ensembl
UUGGUAUCGGAGGAAUCGAUAUUUCAGAAUCGAUCCGCACAUCACUACUUCUUUCCCCCCGCCCCGCUCCUUCUUCCUCUUCCUCUGAGUUUUUAUAGCAGUUGUACCAACUUACAGUUGUAUUGGGGAGGGGCCAAGAUGGUGACCGAGGUAGACGCUCUUCUCCGUGGCUAAGCAGGAUUUUGCAGUUUUACUUCCCUUUCAGCCGUCGUUUUUUUCUCUGAAUCACAAGUGAGUUAUCCUACUGAUCUUAUUCAGUACACGUAUGCGGCACUUCUAAGUAAUGGCUUCCUGAACCAUACUUCAAAGAGUUUUUUCGCGACCCUAGCCUCUUUGCAACGCGAUAGCUCAGCUAACAGCAGGAAAGCUCUGUUACCUCAGCGAUGUUUCCAACAAUUCAGGGUAGCAAAGGAAGGAAAAAUAAACACCCAUGAAAUUUAAAAGUCUAACCAGAGGAGCAACCAAGGAAAUGGAGAGAAACACGGGUGUAGCUGGCUCCAAAACCAGCCCCAAGAAUGCCGUGACUGCCGAACAUGACUACAACCGCAGCAAAAGUCCUGAACUGAUGCCACUGACUGACAGGAGUUAUUACUCUGAAGAACAAAUUUAAUGGGAACGUUAUGCACUCUGAAAUGGACUCAGAAGGACAGUAUGAUAGUCAACAUUGAUGGUACACUUCUUCUUCUUGCCAAUGCUGCUCCAGCCAGCCGGAGAAUCCCCCGCCGCCCCGCCCUCUCCUCCCUGUGCAGCAAGCAGCAGGCGCACCUCGCAAACGGAGGGCGCCCUUACUCCCAGCAAAUGGGCAAUGGAAACCCAAUCGGUGCCUACAACAUUCCCAAUAUGCGCUGGCAUGAUGUCGGGGCAGCAUAACUUCUCACACAUUUGAUUUCCAUGUGUGACAACUGCAGACAGACUGAGGGACACACUGCUGCACAUCAUCUGUGAGGCUUUGCACCCCUGAUGAUCCACCAGGACAAACUCAGCAGUGUGUGAGGAAGAGGAGGAGGAAGAGUCAGCAGCUGCUGACAGAUGGAGAGAAUAGACAGACUGUUCCCUGUUUGUGAAGGACUGCUAGAAAAGUUUAAAAUAACUAAUUGCCUGUCCUGAAUCAGUCUCAUUAGGUAAUGUUCAAAAUAUUUUAUUAUUCCAGUGUUUUCAGUGUGGGAGAAAGUACUCAGGGCCUUCAAGUUACACACUAUGAAAGGCAGCAACAAGUUUAAUAUUCAGAAACCUAAAGUAUGUAUCAGCAGCAGAAUGGACCUAAAAAUAAAUGUUUGUUUCAGUUCUAUGAAGCUUUGAGUAUUUUGGAUUAGUAGCACUGCUGUGUUUGUUGCAUCAUAUUGCUGUAAUUGUUUAUAUGCUUUAUAUAUUCUGAGGUAAGUUGGUCUAUAGUGUUACAUCAUAUUCUAUAAGGAUGUUAUGUGUUUGUAUACUUUCUGCCCAGAUGACUUAAAGCAGUUAUGACAUGGUCUGAUUUUCUCACCCAAUAAAGGAAUAUUUAAUAUAUCAGACUACUCUUCAUUCUAUCAGAAACAGUUUUCACAGCUCGUACAUUUUCCUUUUUACACAUGUAUGUAAGCAUUGAGCCAAAUGUAAUAAUGCCAACAUAUUAAAUGAACAAUAUUUGUCUCUCAUAUAUAAUACAUCUAUAUAUACACUGUCAAAGA